This 932-nucleotide ribosomal RNA is filed under the name delta proteobacterium FM3-A3. RNAcentral's name for it is "bacterial SSU rRNA". It matches the Rfam family "Bacterial small subunit ribosomal RNA", at positions 86 to 1002 of the family's 1533-position model. Lineage: Bacteria; Deltaproteobacteria. The record is from RNAcentral.
CUGAGUAGAGUGGCGCACGGGUGAGUAACGCGUGGGUAAUCUCCCCUUGGAUUUGGGAUAACUCUGCGAAAGUGGAGCUAAUACCGGAUGGUCUGGCUUUAAAUGAUAAGUCGGUAAAGGAUGCCUCUGCAUAUGCAUUCGUCUAAGGAUGAGCCCGCGUCUCAUUAGCUAGUUGGUAGGGUAAUGGCCUACCAAGGCAACGAUGAGUAGCUGGUCUGAGAGGAUGAUCAGCCACACUGGAACUGAAACACGGUCCAGACUCCUACGGGAGGCAGCAGUGGGGAAUAUUGCGCAAUGGGCGAAAGCCUGACGCAGCAACGCCGUGUGAGGGAUGAAGGCUUUCGGGUCGUAAACCUCUGUCAGAAGGGAAGAACGGGCAUUGGUCUAAUAGGCCUUUGUUUUGACGGUACCUUCAGAGGAAGCACCGGCUAACUCCGUGCCAGCAGCCGCGGUAAUACGGAGGGUGCAAGCGUUAUUCGGAAUUACUGGGCGUAAAGCGCACGUAGGCGGCCUUGUAAGUCAGGGGUGAAAUCCCACGGCUCAACCGUGGAACUGCCUUUGAAACUGCAGGGCUUGAAUCCUGGAGAGGGUGGCGGAAUUCCUGGUGUAGGAGUGAAAUCCGUAGAUAUCAGGAGGAACACCGGUGGCGAAGGCGGCCACCUGGACAGGUAUUGACGCUGAGGUGCGAAAGUGUGGGGAGCAAACAGGAUUAGAUACCCUGGUAGUCCACACCGUAAACGAUGGAUACUAGGUGUCGGGGACUUGAUCUUCGGUGCCGUAGCUAACGCGUUAAGUAUCCCGCCUGGGGAGUACGGUCGCAAGGCUGAAACUCAAAGAAAUUGACGGGGGCCCGCACAAGCGGUGGAGUAUGUGGUUUAAUUCGAUGCAACGCGAAGAACCUUACCUAGGCUUGACAUCCUGGGAAUCCUGCA